GAAAUGCGAUAAGUAAUGUGAAUUGCAGAAUUCAGUGAAUCAUCGAAUCUUUGAACGCACCUUGUGCUCCUUGGUAUUCCUUGGAGCAUGCCUGUUUGAGUAUCAUGAAAUCUUCAAAGUAAAUCUUUUGUUAACUCAAUUGGUUUCUACUUUGGUAUUGGAGGUCUUUGCAGCUUCACACCUGCUCCUCUUUGUUCAUUAGCUGGAUCUCAGUGCUAUGCUUGGUUCCACUCGGCGUGAUAAGUUAUCUAUCGCUGAGGACACUGUAAAAGGUGGCCAAGGUAAAUGCAGAUGAACCGCUUCUAAUAGUCCAUUGACUUGGACAAUACUUUUAUGAUCUGAUCUCAAAUCAGGUAGGACUACCCGCUGAACUUAAGC
Molecule: unclassified non-coding RNA, 378 nt
Filed under: plant metagenome
Description: partial contains 5.8S ribosomal RNA, internal transcribed spacer 2, and large subunit ribosomal RNA
Rfam family: 5.8S ribosomal RNA (bases 1-105)
Source: RNAcentral